CCUACGGGUGGCAGCAGUAGGGAAUCUUCCACAAUGGGCGCAAGCCUGAUGGAGCAACACCGCGUGAGUGAAGAAGGGUUUCGGCGCGUAAAGCUCUGUUGUUGGAGAAGAACGUGCGUGAGAGUAACUGUUCACGCAGUGACGGAAUCCAACCAGACAGUCGCGGCAAACUGCGGGCCAGCAGCCUCGGGAGUACGUAGGUGGCGAGCGUUAUCCGUAUUUAUUGGGCGUAAAGUGAGCGCAGGCGGUUGCUUACGUCUGAUGUGAAAGGCGUCGGCUUAACCGAAGAAGUGCACCGGAAACCGGGCGGCUUGAGUGCAGUAGAGGAAAGGGGAACUCCAUGUGUAGCGGUGGAAUGCGUAGAUAUAAGGAAGAACACCAGUGGCGAAGGCGGCUGUCUGGUCUGCAACUGACGCUGAGGAUCGAAAGCCUGGGUAGCGAACAGGAUUAGAUACCCCUGUAGUC
Molecule: ribosomal RNA, 465 nt
Filed under: uncultured bacterium
Lineage: Bacteria
Description: partial 16S ribosomal RNA
Rfam family: Bacterial small subunit ribosomal RNA
Source: RNAcentral